This 168-nucleotide ribosomal RNA is filed under the name uncultured Rhizobium sp. RNAcentral describes it as "partial 16S ribosomal RNA". It matches the Rfam family "Bacterial small subunit ribosomal RNA", at positions 338 to 521 of the family's 1533-position model. RNAcentral also lists the same sequence under 1 other name. Lineage: Bacteria; Pseudomonadati; Pseudomonadota; Alphaproteobacteria; Hyphomicrobiales; Rhizobiaceae. The record is from RNAcentral.
CCUACGGGAGGCAGCAGUGGGGAAUAUUGCACAAUGGGCGGAAGCCUGAUGCAGCGACGCCGCGUGAGGGAUGACGGCCUUGGUUGUAACCUCUUUCAGCAGGGACGAAGCGUAAGUGACGGUACCUGCAGAAGAAGCACCGGCUAACUACGUGCCAGCAGCCGCGGU